GACAGAGGUUGCAAACGUUGUUCGGAAUCACUGGGCAUAAAGCGCACGUAGGCGGCUGACUAAGUCGGAUGUGAAAUCCCUCGGCUUAACCGGGGAACUGCGUCUGAUACUGGUCGGCUUGAGAACGGUAGGGGUGAGCGGAACUCCAGGUGGAGCGGUGAAAUGCGUAGAUAUCUGGAGGAACACCGGUGGCGAAAGCGGCUCACUGGACCGUCACUGACGCUGAGGUGCGAAAGCUAGGGUAGCAAACGGG
Molecule: ribosomal RNA, 253 nt
Filed under: uncultured bacterium
Lineage: Bacteria
Description: partial 16S ribosomal RNA
Rfam family: Bacterial small subunit ribosomal RNA
Source: RNAcentral